RNAcentral lists this ribosomal RNA (253 nucleotides) under uncultured bacterium. RNAcentral's name for it is "partial 16S ribosomal RNA". It matches the Rfam family "Bacterial small subunit ribosomal RNA", at positions 524 to 776 of the family's 1533-position model. The record is from RNAcentral.
UACGUAGGGGGCUAGCGUUGUCCGGAUUUAUUGGGCGUAAAGAGCGUGUAGGCGGCCAGGUAGGUCUGCUGUGAAAACUCGAGGCUCAACCUCGAGACGUCGGCGGAAACCAUCUGGCUAGAGUCCGGAAGAGGAGAGUGGAAUUCCUGGUGUAGCGGUGAAAUGCGCAGAUAUCGGGAAGAACACCCGUGGCGAAGGCGGCUCUCUGGGACGGUACCGACGCUGAGACGCGAAAGCGUGGGGAGCGAACAGG